UACAGAGGGUGCUAGCGUUGUUCGGAAUCAUUGGGCGUAAAGGGCGUGUAGGCGGUUUGUUAAGUCGAGGGGUGAAAUCCUGGAGCUCAACUCCAGAACUGCCUUUGAUACUGGCAAUCUUGAGUCCGGAAGAGGUGAGUGGAACUCCUAGUGUAGAGGUGGAAUUCGUAGAUAUUAGGAAGAACACCAGUGGCGAAGGCGGCUCACUGGUCCGGUACUGACGCUGAGGUGCGAAAGCGUGGGGAGCAAACAGG
This 254-nucleotide ribosomal RNA is filed under the name uncultured bacterium. RNAcentral's name for it is "partial 16S ribosomal RNA". It matches the Rfam family "Bacterial small subunit ribosomal RNA", at positions 524 to 776 of the family's 1533-position model. The record is from RNAcentral.